This 250-nucleotide ribosomal RNA is filed under the name uncultured bacterium. RNAcentral's name for it is "partial 16S ribosomal RNA". It matches the Rfam family "Bacterial small subunit ribosomal RNA", at positions 524 to 773 of the family's 1533-position model. The record is from RNAcentral.
UACAGGGGGGGCAAGCGUUAUCCGGAUUCACUGGGUUUAAAGGGUGUGUAGGCGGGCUGUUAAGUCAGUGGUGAAAUCUCCGGGCUCAACCCGGAAACUGCCAUUGAUACUAUCAGUCUUGAAUUCUGUUGAGGUAGGCGGAAUAUAUCAUGUAGCGGUGAAAUGCUUAGAUAUGAUAUAGAACACCGAUUGCGAAGGCAGCUUACUAAACAGAUAUUGACGCUGAGGCACGAAAGCGUGGGGAUCAAAC